CCUACGGGGGGCAGCAGUGAGGAAUAUUGGUCAAUGGGCGCAAGCCUGAACCAGCCAUGCCGCGUGCAGGAUGACGGUCCUAUGGAUUGUAAACUGCUUUUGCACAGGAAGAAACACUACCUCGUGAGGUAGCUUGACGGUACUGUGAGAAUAAGGAUCGGCUAACUCCGUGCCAGCAGCCGCGGUAAUACGGAGGAUCCAAGCGUUAUCCGGAAUCAUUGGGUUUAAAGGGUCCGUAGGCGGUCUAAUAAGUCAGUGGUGAAAGCCCUACGCUCAACGUAGGAACGGCCAUUGAUACUGUUAGACUUGAAUUAUUUGGAAGUAACUAGAAUAUGUAGUGUAGCGGUGAAAUGCUUAGAGAUUACAUGGAAUACCAAUUGCGAAGGCAGGUUACUACAAAUGGAUUGACGCUGAUGGACGAAAGCGUGGGUAGCGAACAGGAUUAGAUACCCCGGUAGUC
This 460-nucleotide ribosomal RNA is filed under the name uncultured bacterium. RNAcentral's name for it is "bacterial SSU rRNA". It matches the Rfam family "Bacterial small subunit ribosomal RNA", at positions 338 to 795 of the family's 1533-position model. The record is from RNAcentral.